AGAGCGAACGCUGGCGGCAGGCUUAACACAUGCAAGUCGAGCGCUCGUAGCAAUACGAGAGCGGCAGACGGGAGAGUAACACGUGGGAACGUACCCUUUGGUUCGGAACAACACAGGGAAACUUGUGCUAAUACCGGAUAAGCCCUUACGGGGAAAGAUUUAUCGCCAAAGGAUCGGCCCGCGUCUGAUUAGCUAGUUGGUGGGGUAACGGCUCACCAAGGCGACGAUCAGUAGCUGGUCUGAGAGGAUGACCAGCCUCAUUGGGACUGAGACACGGCCCAAACUCCUACGGGAGGCAGCAGUGGGGAAUAUUGGACAAUGGGCGCAAGCCUGAUCCAGCCAUGCCGCGUGGAUGAUGAAGGCCUUAGGGUUGUAAAGUCCUUUUAACGGGGAAGAUAAUGACGGUACCGUAGAAUAAGCCCGGCUAACUUCGCGCCAGCACGCCGC
Molecule: ribosomal RNA, 447 nt
Filed under: uncultured bacterium
Lineage: Bacteria
Description: SSU rRNA
Rfam family: Bacterial small subunit ribosomal RNA
Source: RNAcentral